Rhododendron vialii is the source of this 3280-nucleotide RNA transcript. It is a transcript of the gene named calcium-dependent protein kinase 20-like, with no coding region annotated. NCBI's taxonomy places the organism in Eukaryota, Viridiplantae, Streptophyta, Magnoliopsida, Ericales, Ericaceae. The record is from RefSeq and is a predicted model, not a curated record. The transcript is spliced from 8 exons.
UAAUGUGUUGUUUUGCACGUAAAACAUGAACUGAAGCCUGCAUGCGCGUGGAUUCUGGAAAAAAGGGCAAAGGGCAAGGGGAAAGGGUGUUCGUUCGUUGUUUGUUAGAGCGGCCGGGAAUCGUCCCGUUCCCUAUUAUCAAGUGAAUCCACCACCAUUCCCGAGGGGUCACCUUCCUCGCCAUCAUUUCCCACAUCGUUGAGACCUAGGGUUUGAAAGCUUAAUUCUGGUCAUUGUGCGAUCUGACCCUGCCGCCAUUGCCGUCUUCUUCGUCGGGGUCCUCAUUUCCAACAACAUCAUUCAGAGGGUUGAAAGAAAGGUUCCCGUUCAGUCAUUGUGCGAUCUGAUCAGCUGCCAUUGCCGAGUUCUCGGAGGGUGGGUCCUCCUCCUCCUCAGAAGAGAAAUAAAAUAAUGACGACGAUGAUUACGCACGAAGAAAAUCGUGCGAUUUUCCAUUUCCAAAACGUUUCCUUGUCUUGUUCACCCCACAGAAUUUCCAGUUUACGCGUUCGGUUCAGGUAGGAGUUUUUGUAGGAUCAGGCAUCUUGAAUUUGGCUUUUAAUUGUUAAUGGGAAUGAUAUAACAAGCUGGGCUGGGAUUUUGUGAUAUCUGUUCAAGUGCUUGAGGGGUAGUGCUGGAAUAUUGUUAGUCACGCCGGUUAGUGAAGUCUUGUAGUGAGCUAUUGUUUGUGUUAGGGUUAAUUAACACCCUAAACACUUUUCUGAGGAGUUGUGUUAUUGGAAUCUACUCGUACUGUUGAUGGGGAACACAUGUGUAGGGCCCAAUCUGGGGAACAAUGGGUUCUUGCAAUCUGUUACAGCUGCAGUUUGGAGAAGCCGCCAAACUGAUAACACUCUUCCUCCUCCUACUAAUGGAGAAUCCAGCACCAACAAGAAUAGCAACACCGAGGUGAAAUCAGAGCAACCUGAAAAACCUGAUUCACUUUCUGUAGGAAAAGGAGGAGGAGGUGGGUCUGAGGCUCUGGUCCGCGUCCAGAGCACUCCACCCGUGCCGGUCAAAAUAACGGGAGAGGAGGUUAAACGCAUAGAUACAACAAAGAGUAUCAAGCGGGAGACAACGAUCGUGAGAGGGAAUGAGCAAGAGGGCGGAAAACAGAACAAGCCGAGCCACAUUAAGCGGGUCUCGAGCGUGGGCCUCCAAAUCGAGUCUGUGUUACAGCGAAAAACCGGGAACUUGAAGGAGAUUUACACUUUGGGGAGGAAGCUUGGACAAGGGCAAUUCGGGACAACUUUCCUCUGCGUGGAGAAGGCGAACGGGAAGGAGUUUGCUUGCAAGUCGAUCGCGAAGAGGAAGUUGACAACGGAAGAGGACGUGGAGGAUGUGAGGAGGGAGAUUCAGAUAAUGCACCACUUAGCGGGUCACCCAAGUGUGAUUUCUAUCGUGGGUGCUUAUGAGGAUGCUGUUUCGGUUCAUGUUGUUAUGGAGCUUUGCGCGGGUGGGGAGCUUUUCGAUCGGAUUAUACAGAGGGGGCACUAUACGGAGAGAAAGGCAGCUGAGCUCGCGAGGGUCAUAGUCGGUGUAGUUGAAGCAUGCCAUUCUUUAGGAGUUAUGCAUCGGGACUUGAAGCCCGAGAAUUUCCUCUUUGUUAACCAGGAAGAGGAGUCUCCACUCAAGACAAUUGACUUUGGGCUCUCUGUAUUCUUCAGGCCGGGUGAAACAUUCACCGAUGUGGUUGGAAGCCCUUAUUAUGUGGCCCCAGAAGUCCUGCGGAAACUCUACGGUCCAGAAUGUGAUGUUUGGAGUGCCGGGGUUAUCAUUUAUAUCUUAUUGAGUGGGGUCCCACCUUUUUGGGAUGAAACGGAGCAAGGAAUAUUUGAGCAGGUUUUAAAAGGAGAACUUGACUUUGUAUCAGAACCGUGGCCUAGUAUAUCAGAUGGUGCAAAAGAUCUUGUGAGAAGAAUGCUUGUAAGAGACCCUAAAAAGCGGUUGACAGCCCACGAAGUUCUUUCUCACCCUUGGGUUCAAGUUGAAGGCGUAGCUCCUGAUAAACCUCUUGAUUCUGCUGUUCUAUCUCGUCUGAAGCAAUUCUCCGCAAUGAACAAACUCAAGAAGAUAGCCAUCAGAGUCAUUGCUGAGAAUUUGUCUGAAGAGGAAAUUGCAGGACUGAAAGAAAUGUUUAAGAUGAUAGAUACAGAUAACAGUGGCCAUAUCACACUCGAGGAACUGAAAAAAGGUUUGGAAAGAGUGGGUGCAAAUCUCAAGGAUUCGGAAAUUAACAGUUUAAUGCAAGCGGCCGAUGUCGAUAACAGUGGUACCAUAGAUUAUGGAGAGUUCAUGGCUGCAAUGCUCCAUCUGAACAAAGUCCUGAGAGAGGAUCAUAUGUAUGCAGCUUUCUCAUAUUUUGACAAAGAUGGGAGUGGAUAUAUUACACAAGACGAGCUCCAACAGGCCUGUGAGCAGUUUGGUCUGGGAGAUGUUCACUUGGAAGAAAUUAUCCGUGAAGUUGACCAGGAUAAUGAUGGGCGUAUUGAUUACAAUGAAUUUGUGGCCAUGAUGCAAGACACUGGUUUUGGCAUGACGAUUAGCAGAACAGCAUAAGCCUUUUGUUUACGAAAGCCUUCAAGAUUGGUUAUUACUUGGUACUAUCUAAUAUUUUUCUUGGUACUCCAACCAAUUGGAGGUGCAUGCCUUUGUAAAGAUCAGUCAGGUUUCGGGGAUGGAGAGGAAAUAACGAAUCGUUGCUUCUGCAAGGAUUGACACCCACCCCUAUGAAAGUGUACAAGGGUGGCCAAUUGAGCUUGCCCCAAUUGGUUAGAUCUUGCUUCUUCUGCGGCCCUUUGUUGGUUGGAAAUUCUCUGUGCAACAGGUACGUCAAGGUGAUGUGAAGGUCUAUCUAAAGCCAUACGGUAAAAAGCCCACAUGCUGGGAGAGAGGCAGUCUUACAACCUUUGGGUUUGCCUGUUACAUAACAAAUACCGCCUCCCAUGCUGUGCAUUCAACUUUGAUUUCGUUGUCUCAUUGUAAUCAUGUGUAUAUCCUGGGUUUCCUUUGAGGGCAUCAAUGCAAAAAAAAAAAAUCCUUCAUUUGAUUGUAUUCUGUGGUGGAAGGAAAGUGCACAUGUACCUUACAUGGGGUUCUGUUGAGGGGUUUUAUCAUCCCAUUCUGUUCAGCUGGUUGGGUUAGGAAUCUUAGGAUAGAUGCGUAUUCCUCGGCGAUUUUGAGGAAUGCACGAUAGCCUAUUACGCUCAACCGUGCCCCGUUCCGGGGCUGACAUUGUGAUCCGAAUCAUUUAUAUGGAAGCAUCUACCCAACUCCAGUU